This 669-nucleotide ribosomal RNA is filed under the name Gallacea eburnea. RNAcentral describes it as "eukaryotic LSU rRNA". The stretch from base 268 to 423 matches the Rfam family "5.8S ribosomal RNA". Lineage: Eukaryota; Fungi; Basidiomycota; Agaricomycetes; Hysterangiales; Gallaceaceae. The record is from RNAcentral.
AGGUUUCCGUAGGUGAACCUGCGGAAGGAUCAUUACAGAAUGACACGGAGGGGUUAGAACCGAGCUGGCCCCCGACGGGCAAGUGCUCGCCCCUCGUAUUCUAUCUACCAAACACCUGUGCACCUAGCGAACGCCUCCCUUGUAGGAGUCGGCCGACGCCCUUCACCGCGAAGGUGCCCCUCGGCUUGAGGGGUUCACUCUAAUAGGAAUUGUAGAUGCCAGUAACAAACGCAUGUCUUUGAGCUCCACGGAGCGCAAACUUAAUACAACUUUCAACAACGGAUCUCUUGGCUUUCGCAUCGAUGAAGAACGCCGCGAAAGUGCGAAACGUAAUGUGAAUUGCAGAAUUCAGUGAAUCAUCGAAUCUUUGAACGCACCUUGCGCUCCUCGGUCAUUCCGAGGAGCAUGCCUGUUUGAGUGUCGUGAAACCCUCUCAACCCCGGCCUUUACUGUGCCCGUGUGGGCUGGACUUGGACGUUGCCGUCUUUGCGGACGGCUCGUCUCGAAACGUAUUAGCUGGUUUCACCUCGGUUCCGUCGACAACGGUGUGAUAAGUGAUUGUUCGUCGAAGUCGUAGACCACCAACGGUGACCGCUUACAGUCGUCCGUCCCCCCCUUCAAGGGGGACGACAAACCACGUCAUCUGACCUCAAAUCAGGUAGGACUACC